AGUUACUUUAAUCUGAGCAGUCUCAGUAAAAUGGAGGGGCGGGUUGAAGAAGAUGAAGAGAGUUGGAGUUGAGAAAACAUGCAUGGCUAGUAAUGUGAGUUGUUCCAGAAACUUUGAGGAGAAAGGGAGCAGAGAUAUAGGACUGUAGUUAGAUGGGGAAGACUAGUUAAGAGAUGGCUUUUUUUAGGAUAGGUAACAUGCUUAAGG
Molecule: non-coding RNA, 207 nt
Organism: Pelobates cultripes (western spadefoot toad)
Lineage: Eukaryota; Metazoa; Chordata; Amphibia; Anura; Pelobatidae
Source: the annotation of a GenBank genome assembly